This is a long non-coding RNA of Daphnia magna, 824 nucleotides long. RefSeq lists it as uncharacterized. Lineage: Eukaryota; Metazoa; Arthropoda; Branchiopoda; Diplostraca; Daphniidae. The transcript has 2 exons. The record is from RefSeq and is a predicted model, not a curated record.
GCUCCACUGUGGCUAUUUUUCCUCUCAGAAAAGGGGUAUCCUUUUGAGGUGAACACUAGACGUUUUCCUUCCGACGAGAGCGCCUCUUGUGGGUGUGUUGGUGUUUACUCCGCACAGUCAUUUGUAGCCAGAUCUUACGCUCCGCCCUAAAAUCCUCGUUUUUUCGUAGUGUUCCCCGCAAGAGGGUACCCCUUUUCUGAGACGAAAAAUAGCCAUAGUGAAGCAACCAGGGGUCUAUGAUUGUGGAUAUUUUAAUCGAAAUUUAUUCGUAUUCAUGAAUAAAACGUCCUUUUUAUUCGUUAUUCAUAUUCGUUUAUAAAAUGAAUCAAGUUUUUCCUUAUUCGACAGAACACUGACAUUUGGACAUGAGCCAAAUAACAGAGAAACGCUGAGUUGUCACUGAAACAAAGGAGAAAUAUUAACAGAGUUGAAUGAUUUUUCGCUUACCUACAAUGUCUUCCAAAUGACACAUAUGCACAUGGCGCCACAUGAAAUUCAUUUUUCAUUCAUCGAGUAGUGGAUGCCGAAGGGAGAGGGUGGAUAAGUAAAUAAUAGUUUAAGGAAACAAGGGACCAUAUAAUUUUCAAUUAAACGAAGAAAUUCCUCUUAAACUUUUGGUUCCGUAACCACUCUCAAUGUAUGGUAAAUCGAACCGGGACCAGCCUAUUUGAAACUUGGACCAAGAAGUAUUGUGAUUGGAGGUGGAGGAGGAAGGUAAUCUGAAUCGACGGCCGUUGAAAAAAAGAGGGAUCGAAUAGCUGGAAAAAAGCAUUGACUAAAGCACAUCCACUGUAAAUUCUACAUCAAAAUGAACCACAAACACA